Malaya genurostris is the source of this 1221-nucleotide long non-coding RNA. RefSeq lists it as uncharacterized. The record is from RefSeq and is a predicted model, not a curated record. NCBI's taxonomy places the organism in Eukaryota, Metazoa, Arthropoda, Insecta, Diptera, Culicidae. The transcript is spliced from 3 exons.
GCAGAGAGAGAGUGAAUGGAGAAAGAGUUGGUAUGGAAAAACACGCGGCGAAAUAAAUAGAAACAUACGUUAUUGAACACAUCUUAAUAAUAUUAAAUAUCACAUUAUCCCCUCGAUUACCACAUUGGCGACGAGGUAAAUCGGAAGAGGCUAUUUUUCUCAGCCUGCCGGUGAGCAGAAACCAAAAAUCGUCGCUGGAAGCGAUAGGCUACAGGGUAGCGACUGCAAAAUAGCAGUGGUUCAAAUAUAUUCGCUGGAAGCGGAAAAAAAAGAGAGGCUGUUUACUUCACCAGAGUUGGUGGACUGCUUUCGUAACAAAGUUACGUCUGGUAGCUGUAAGCAGAAAAUUCCUUGGAUCAACCAGUUUCACAAUGGAAAAAUGGGAAAUUCAACCAUUCAAAUUUAGGUCAUUUCCCCGCAAUAUCGUCCGUAAUGAGUGGAUUAAAUACAAGCGCAAUUUCGACUAUAUAGUAGCAGCAUCUGGAGAGAAAGAUAAAACACGCAUUAAAAAUCUAUUUCUGGCUCGAGCUGGACCGGAACUGCAGGAGGUUUUCGCUUCUAUUCCCGGUGUGGAUGUGGGAGAAGAUAAGGAAAAAGGCGUCGAUCCAUAUUCUGUUGCGAUACAAAAACUAGACACUUACUUUUCUCCUAAACAGCAUGAAACGUUCGAACGGAACGUUUUCUGGACACUCAGGCCAAGCCAAGACGAGACAUUGGAAAAGUUUAUGCUACGUAGUCAGGACCAGGCCAGUAAGUGCAACUUUGGCAGGACAGCACAAGAAAGCAGGGCAAUAAGCGUAAUCGAUAAAGUGAUUUUAUUCGCCCCGAGUGACCUGAAGGAGCAACUUUUACAGAAGGAUUCUUUUGAUAUUGACGAAGUCGCAAAAAUCGUAAGCUCAUACGAAUCAGUGAAACACCAAGCACAAAUGAUGAAUCGACCAUCUCUUGGAGGGACAGAGCCAUCCGAUCCUAGCAUUAUUGAAAGAAGCAUCAAUAAAAUUUGGAACGAUCCUCGCAAUGAAUGUAUGAGAUGCGGGAAAAGGGACCAUUUCGCGAAUGAUCCCAAAUGCCCUGCACGUGGGAAAGAGUGCAUCAAGUGCAAACGAAUCGGUCAUUUCGCUGCUCGGUGCCGAACGUCAGCUGUAAAGCGAAAAUAUACGGAGGAACAUAGACCAGGACAUAGCAAAGAUUUUAAAAGGCAUCGGGUACACGAAAUUGAGA